This 71-nucleotide transfer RNA is filed under the name Marmota monax (woodchuck). It matches the Rfam family "tRNA". From Rfam's summary of the family: Transfer RNA (tRNA) molecules are approximately 80 nucleotides in length. Their secondary structure includes four short double-helical elements and three loops (D, anti-codon, and T loops). The record is from Rfam by way of RNAcentral. Lineage: Eukaryota; Metazoa; Chordata; Mammalia; Rodentia; Sciuridae.
GCGGCUGUAGCUCAGUGGCAGAGCGCCUUCCUCUCAUGCAUGAGGCACUGGGUUCAAUCCUCAGCACCACA